GAUAAACGCUGGCGGCGUGCCUAACACAUGCAAGUCGAACGCCCUGCGCAAGCAGGGAGUGGCGGACGGGUGAGUAACACGUGGAUGAUCUACCUUAAGGUGAGGAAUACCGACGAGAAAUCGUUGACAAUACCGCAUAUGUUUCUUCGGAAAUAAAGUUCCUUCGGGAACGCCUUGAGAUGAGUCCGCGCCCGAUUAGCUAGUUGGUGGGGUAAAAGCCUACCAAGGCUGCAAUCGGUAGCUGGUCUGAGAGGACGAGCAGCCACACUGGGAUUGA
This 277-nucleotide ribosomal RNA is filed under the name uncultured bacterium. Its description in RNAcentral is "partial 16S ribosomal RNA". It matches the Rfam family "Bacterial small subunit ribosomal RNA", at positions 28 to 322 of the family's 1533-position model. The record is from RNAcentral.